AGAUUGAACGCUGGCGGCAUGCUUUACACAUGCAAGUCGAACGGUAACAGGCCGCAAGGUGCUGACGAGUGGCGAACGGGUGAGUAAUGCAUCGGAACGUGCCCAGUCGUGGGGGAUAACGCAGCGAAAGCUGUGCUAAUACCGCAUACGAUCUAUGGAUGAAAGCGGGGGACCGAAAGGCCUCGCGCGAUUGGAGCGGCCGAUGUCAGAUUAGCUAGUUGGUGGGGUAAGGCCACCAAGGCGACGAUCUGUAGCUGGUCUGAGAGGACGACCAGCCACACUGGAACUGAGACACGGUCCAGUACACCUACGGGAGCAGCAGGUAGGGAAUUUUGGACAAGUGGGCGCGAAGCC
This 354-nucleotide ribosomal RNA is filed under the name uncultured soil bacterium. RNAcentral describes it as "bacterial SSU rRNA". It matches the Rfam family "Bacterial small subunit ribosomal RNA", at positions 26 to 383 of the family's 1533-position model. The record is from RNAcentral.